Molecule: ribosomal RNA, 602 nt
Filed under: uncultured fungus
Lineage: Eukaryota; Fungi
Description: eukaryotic LSU rRNA
Rfam family: 5.8S ribosomal RNA (bases 207-360)
Source: RNAcentral
AGUAAAAGUCGUAACAAGGUCUCCGUAGGUGAACCUGCGGAGGGAUCAUUACAAGUGACCCCGGUUUACCACCGGGAUGUUCAUAACCCUUUGUUGUCCGACUCUGUUGCCUCCGGGGCGACCCUGCCUUCGGGCGGGGGCUCCGGGUGGACACUUCAAACUCUUGCGUAACUUUGCAGUCUGAGUAAACUUAAUUAAUAAAUUAAAACUUUUAACAACGGAUCUCUUGGUUCUGGCAUCGAUGAAGAACGCAGCGAAAUGCGAUAAGUAAUGUGAAUUGCAGAAUUCAGUGAAUCAUCGAAUCUUUGAACGCACAUUGCGCCCCCUGGUAUUCCGGGGGGCAUGCCUGUUCGAGCGUCAUUUCACCACUCAAGCCUCGCUUGGUAUUGGGCAACGCGGUCCGCCGCGUGCCUCAAAUCGACCGGCUGGGUCUUCUGUCCCCUAAGCGUUGUGGAAACUAUUCGCUAAAGGGUGCUCGGGAGGCUACGCCGUAAAACAACCCCAUCUCUAAGGUUGACCUCGGAUCAGGUAGGGAUACCCGCUGAACUUAAGCAUAUCAAUAAGCGGAGGAAAAGAAACCAACAGGGAUUGCCCUAGUAACG